Molecule: long non-coding RNA, 1248 nt
Filed under: Anser cygnoides (Swan goose)
Lineage: Eukaryota; Metazoa; Chordata; Aves; Anseriformes; Anatidae
Description: lncRNA (ENSACDG00005014154.1)
Source: RNAcentral
GGCUGGUGUUGGGGCCCAUCGUCUUUAAUAUGUUUAUUGAUGAUUUGAAUGAGGGAAUUGAGUGCACCCUCAGUAAGUUUGCAGACAACACCAAGUUGGGGGCAAGUGUCAAUCUGCUGGAGGGUAGGAAGGCCCUGCAGAAGGACCUGGACAGGUUAGAUCGAUGUGCUGAGGCUAGUGGGAUGAUGUUCAACAUGGCUAAGUGUCAGGUCCUGUACUUUGGUCACAACAACCCCAUGCAGCGCUACAGGUAUAGGGCAGAGUGGCUGGAAAGCUGUGCAGAGGAAAAGGGUCAGGGGGUGCUGAUCGAUGUUCCCCUGAACAUGAGCCAGCAGUGUGCCCAGGUGGCCAUGAAAGCCAAUGGCAUCCUGGCUUCUAUCAGGAAUAGUGUAGCCAGCAGGACCAGGAAGGUUAUCACCCCCCUGUACUCAGCUCUGGUGAGGCCAUGCCUCAAGUACUGUGCUCAGUUUUGGGCCUCUCAAUACAAGGAAAACAUCAAGGUCCUGGACCAUGCCCAGAGCAGGGCUACGAAGCUGGUGAAGGGCCUGGAAUACAAGUCCUGUGAGGAACGGCUGAGGGAACUGGGGUUGUUUAGUCUGGAGAAGAGAAGGCCCAGGGGAGACAUUAUUGCUCUCUACAACUCCCUGAAAGAAAGGUGUGGGGAGCUGGGGGUCAGCCUCUUCUCACAGAUAACUAGUGAUGGGACAGGAGGAAAUACCAUCAAGUUGUGCCAGGGGAUGUUCACCUUGGAAAUUAGGAGACAUUUCUUCUCAGAAAGAGUAGUCAGGCAUUGGAACUUGUUGCUCAAGGAAGUGGUGGCAUCACCGUCCCUGGGGGUGUUCAAGGAAAGGUUGGAUGUGGCGCUUAGGGACAUGGUUUAGUGGGUGACAUUGGUAGUAGGCUGAUGGUUGUACCAGAUCAUCUUGAAGGUCUUUUCCAGCCUUAAUGAUUCUAUGAUUCAUAUAUGAAAAAUCAAAUGUCAUUUAAGACUAUUAUUUCCUCGUGUCAAAUGUUAAUGAUUCAUUCUGUCAUGAUUUAUGGGUUGAUGUUAUCUUUUGGAUGGUAAUACGUAAUGGACUAAAUGGACCUGGACUAAAGGACCUAGACUAAAACCAGGUACAGACUGUAAAACAAGGUUCAAGUUCAGUAGAUUCUAAUAGUGCAUUAGCUGUUUUUGAGGCUUCUUCCUAUUCCUGGAUGAAUAGCAGAUGAAUACCUCUGCUUCAUGCUUCCCUACUAUGGCAUCAG